AAUGCAUGGGUACAGCACCAAACGGUCCUGUUUUGUUUUGUCUUUUAAGUAAAAAAAAAAUCUGCUUGAAAUCAUUUCAAUUUUGUUUUAAGAAAACCUAAUUUUCAAAAUCUCUCCCAUUAUCAGCCACAUACGCCGCAUGCCCAAACGGAGAACAGAGGCGAUCCCAACCCCCUCCUGGGCUUGAUCUCAACGACGGAGGAAACUCCAACGUCCACGUGACCACUGGAAGUUAGGUGCGUGGUAGGCAUGGACUCUGAUGUGGAGGCGCGAGUAGUGCGGGGGUGAAGGUGGAAGCCGUGUGUGGCGAGGGCAGUUGAGGGUUACAGCGCAAGGCUGGUUGCUAGGGUUCUGUCAAAAAUGUUUUUUUAGUUUGGGCUUAAAAGUUGGGCUAGAGUUUAAAUGUUUGUAUUACGCUGUUUGUAUUUUAGGCUAUGGUUUAAAAUUUGGGUCUGAAUUGGUAAACAAAAA
Molecule: long non-coding RNA, 471 nt
Organism: Gossypium arboreum
Lineage: Eukaryota; Viridiplantae; Streptophyta; Magnoliopsida; Malvales; Malvaceae
Exons: 2
Source: RefSeq, a predicted model, not a curated record